This is a non-coding RNA of Podarcis lilfordi (Lilford's wall lizard), 71 nucleotides long. The record is from the annotation of a GenBank genome assembly. Lineage: Eukaryota; Metazoa; Chordata; Lepidosauria; Squamata; Lacertidae.
GGCUGUAGCUCAGUGGUAGAGCAUCUGCUCUGCAUGGAGAAGGUCCCAGGUUCAAGUUCCAGGUAGGGUCG